AUGAAAACCAUAAGUUGGAACUGCCGCGGUAUGGCCAGUACCACGGCAGUGAGAGCGCUUCUGGAUAUCCAGAAGCAAUGGGGGCCGGAUGUGUUUUUUCUGUCCGAAACACAUUUGAACACAGCUAGGGCGAAAAAGUUGAGGAAAAAUCUUAAUAUGGAUCAUGUUGAAGUGGUGGAAAGCGUUAGGGCCAGCGGUGGUCUAUUACUAUUUUGGCGUAAAUCUGUUGUGCUAGAGGUGAUGGAAAAAACAAAAUAUUCAUUGAUGUUAAGGUGGGUGAUUCACCGGAGGAAAGUUGGAGGCUCACGGGGUUCUACGGUGAACCCAAGUGGGAAGACAGAUCAUUAA
This 348-nucleotide ribosomal RNA is filed under the name Triticum aestivum (bread wheat). RNAcentral's name for it is "partial small subunit ribosomal RNA". The record is from RNAcentral. Lineage: Eukaryota; Viridiplantae; Streptophyta; Magnoliopsida; Poales; Poaceae.